ACAGGGUGACAGGUGGUGCAUGGUUGUCGUCAGCUCGUGUCGUGAGAUGUUGGGUUAAGUCCCGCAACGAGCGCAACCCUCGACCUUAGUUGCCAGCAUUCAGUUGGGCACUCUAAGGUGACUGCCGGCUAAAAGUCGGAGGAAGGUGGGGGAUGACGUCAAAUCAUCAUGCCCCUUACGACCUGGGCUACACACGUGCUACAAUGGGCGGUACAAAGGGUCGCGAACCCGCGAGGGGGAGCCAAUCCCAAAAAGCCGCUCUCAGUUCGGAUUGCAGGCUGCAACUCGCCUGCAUGAAGCCGGAAUCGCUAGUAAUCGCGGAUCAGCAUGCCGCGGUGAAUACGUUCCCGGGCCUU
RNAcentral lists this ribosomal RNA (356 nucleotides) under uncultured Anoxybacillus sp. RNAcentral's name for it is "bacterial SSU rRNA". It matches the Rfam family "Bacterial small subunit ribosomal RNA", at positions 1026 to 1382 of the family's 1533-position model. The record is from RNAcentral. Lineage: Bacteria; Bacillati; Bacillota; Bacilli; Caryophanales; Anoxybacillaceae.